UACGUAGGGUGCAAGCGUUAAUCGGAAUUACUGGGCGUAAAGCGUGCGUAGGCGGCUAUGUAAGACAGAUGUGAAAUCCCUGGGCUUAACCUAGGAACUGCAUUUGUGACUGCAUUGCUAGAGUGUGGUAGAGGGAGAUGGAAUUCCGCGUGUAGCAGUGAAAUGCGUAGAUAUGCGGAGGAACACCAAUGGCGAAGGCAAUCUCCUGGACCUGCACUGACGCUCAUGCACGAAAGCGUGGGAGCAAACAGG
RNAcentral lists this ribosomal RNA (252 nucleotides) under uncultured bacterium. RNAcentral's name for it is "partial 16S ribosomal RNA". It matches the Rfam family "Bacterial small subunit ribosomal RNA", at positions 524 to 776 of the family's 1533-position model. The record is from RNAcentral.